AAGGUGAGUUGUGUCAUAAUCUUAAAAAGACCCCAAAAAAUUGUCAAACUAUUUCGCUAAUGAUUCCGAGAAACACCCAGCCGACAGUUGAUGCACUUGCACCCAAAAGAGACCGUUGUUGAUAUCGACUGCGGUUGUGUCCUCACCAUCAUUUAAUCGAUGCCAAACCAGAAAGUGGUUGUUAAAUAUCUAAAGGUUGUCUGUCAUGACCCUCUGUAUAUCCACUUCAUAGAAAAAAUAAAAUAAAAA
Molecule: long non-coding RNA, 249 nt
Filed under: Carica papaya (papaya)
Lineage: Eukaryota; Viridiplantae; Streptophyta; Magnoliopsida; Brassicales; Caricaceae
Description: long non-coding RNA (CPAP_LNC007769)
Source: RNAcentral